Molecule: ribosomal RNA, 433 nt
Filed under: uncultured bacterium
Lineage: Bacteria
Description: partial 16S ribosomal RNA
Rfam family: Bacterial small subunit ribosomal RNA
Source: RNAcentral
AGCGAACGCUGGCGGCAUGCCUAACACAUGCAAGUCGAACGAAGGCUUCGGCCUUAGUGGCGCACGGGUGCGUAACGCGUGGGAAUCUGCCCCUUGGUUCGGAAUAACAGUUAGAAAUGACUGCUAAUACCGGAUGAUGACGUAAGUCCAAAGAUUUAUCGCCGAGGGAUGAGCCCGCGUAGGAUUAGCUAGUUGGUGUGGUAAGAGCGCACCAAGGCGACGAUCCUUAGCUGGUCUGAGAGGAUGAUCAGCCACACUGGGACUGAGACACGGCCCAGACUCCUACGGGAGGCAGCAGUGGGGAAUAUUGGACAAUGGGCGAAAGCCUGAUCCAGCAAUGCCGCGUGAGUGAUGAAGGCCUUAGGGUUGUAAAGCUCUUUUACCCGGGAUGAUAAUGACAGUACCGGGAGAAUAAGCUCCGGCUAACUCCGUG